Molecule: long non-coding RNA, 641 nt
Filed under: Marmota monax (woodchuck)
Lineage: Eukaryota; Metazoa; Chordata; Mammalia; Rodentia; Sciuridae
Source: RNAcentral
CUCCUCCUCCUGGGACCUCCACGGACCUGGCGUUCUCUGGGGUCCCCUGCGUCUCGUUGCACCUUGCUCUUGGGCCAGCUCUGUGUUCCUAAGAGGGUCCCUGUACCCUCCAACCGCUGGGGUUCCGGGAGCCCCAUGGGAAUGAGCCCCAGGUAGCUCCACAAGCAGGUGCCCUGUGCCCAGUUCCAGCAGCUUUCUUUGCCUGGCCUGCUUCCUCCCCUGGGCGCCUGUCCAGCGACCAGCACCUCCUCAGCUCCUCUCUCCCAUCUUCCCUGGAACCCCUGUCGCGUGGCUAGCAAAAGAGUUUGCUAUGGUUGAAAUAAAGGUCAGCCAGGUUGGGGCUGGAUUAUCCCUGGGGAUCUUGGCUUACAGAUUUGUAUGUAGCACCAGGGCUAAAAAAGCAGGAGAGAAAAAUAGAUUUGAAGUAAAGUGCAUUCUGGCGUGGUGGCACAUGGCUGAGGGAGGAGGACCCCGAGUCCGAAGUUCAAGAUGAUCCGGGGCAUCAUGGACCCAGCCUUAAAAAAAGCAAAACAACAGAAUGAACCAUUUCCAGGAGGGUCAUUCAGUUUAUUGGCAAAAAAAAACAGAAGAGUUGGGCUGGGGAUGUGGCUCAAGCGGUAAUGCGCUCGCCUGGCAUGCGG